RNAcentral lists this transfer RNA (77 nucleotides) under Erysipelotrichaceae bacterium. Its description in RNAcentral is "tRNA-Arg". It matches the Rfam family "tRNA". From Rfam's summary of the family: Transfer RNA (tRNA) molecules are approximately 80 nucleotides in length. Their secondary structure includes four short double-helical elements and three loops (D, anti-codon, and T loops). The record is from RNAcentral. RNAcentral also lists the same sequence under 1 other name. Lineage: Bacteria; Bacillati; Bacillota; Erysipelotrichia; Erysipelotrichales; Erysipelotrichaceae.
GUCUUGGUAGCUCAGCUGGAUAGAGCACCCGCCUUCUAAGCGGACGGUCAUGAGUUCGAAUCUCGUCCAGGACACCA